Molecule: microRNA precursor, 59 nt
Organism: Astatotilapia calliptera (eastern happy)
Lineage: Eukaryota; Metazoa; Chordata; Actinopteri; Cichliformes; Cichlidae
Source: Ensembl
GAGGUUUGAGUGUUUUGGUGGAAGUAGUUUUCCUUUACUUCCCAGACUCUCAUUCCAGC